Molecule: ribosomal RNA, 576 nt
Filed under: Lachnospiraceae bacterium oral taxon 373
Lineage: Bacteria; Bacillati; Bacillota; Clostridia; Lachnospirales; Lachnospiraceae
Description: bacterial SSU rRNA
Rfam family: Bacterial small subunit ribosomal RNA
Source: RNAcentral
GGGAACCCUGAUGCAGCGACGCCGCGUGAGUGAAGAAGUAUUUCGGUAUGUAAAGCUCUAUCAGCAGGGAAGAAGAUGACGGUACCUGAGUAAGAAGCCCCGGCUAACUACGUGCCAGCAGCCGCGGUAAUACGUAGGGGGCAAGCGUUAUCCGGAUUUACUGGGUGUAAAGGGAGCGCAGACGGCAGCGUAAGUCUGAAGUGAAAGCCCGCGGCUUAACCGCGGGACUGCUUUGGAAACUACGCGGCUUGAGUGUCGGAGGGGCAGGCGGAAUUCCUGGUGUAGCGGUGAAAUGCGUAGAUAUCAGGAAGAACACCGGUGGCGAAGGCGGCCUGCUGGACGACAACUGACGUUGAGGCUCGAAGGCGUGGGGAGCGAACAGGAUUAGAUACCCUGGUAGUCCACGCGGUAAACGAUGAAUACUAGGUGUCGGCGCCCAAAGGGAGUCGGUGCCGUCGCAAACGCAGUAAGUAUUCCACCUGGGGGAGUACGUUCGCAAGAAUGAAACUCAAAGGAAUUGACGGGGACCCGCACAAGCAGUGGAGCAUGUGGUUUAAUUCGAGCAACGCGAAGAAC